AUCCUUUUGUAGUUCAUGAGUGUGACGAUUGGGUGUUCGUGCUCCUGUGUGACAGGUGCCCCCCCACAAACCUUGUUACAACAUCGGCACGUUACCCAUCUGACA
Artibeus jamaicensis (Jamaican fruit-eating bat) is the source of this 105-nucleotide small nucleolar RNA. RefSeq annotates it as small nucleolar RNA U13. NCBI's taxonomy places the organism in Eukaryota, Metazoa, Chordata, Mammalia, Chiroptera, Phyllostomidae. The transcript has a single exon. The record is from RefSeq and is a predicted model, not a curated record.